CUGAUGUGGACCACAUUGCCACCUGGCUGUUUGCUGCUCUGCUGCAUCCACAGGUCUGGUCCUCAGAUCAUCCUUUGAUGUUGCUGUCAGCUCCCUGUCUAACAGGAACAUUUAACUGGAUUGAGAAGACACCACAGCUGCAGGCUGAACUAUAGUCACUGAAGGCUGAACUUUCAGCAGAAUAAAGGGCAAGCACACUGGAACGUAUACAAGCAGCAGCCUGAAUGGAGCCGUGCCUUUGAUGACCUCUGG
Long non-coding RNA from Dipodomys spectabilis (banner-tailed kangaroo rat), 252 nucleotides. RefSeq lists it as uncharacterized. The record is from RefSeq and is a predicted model, not a curated record. NCBI's taxonomy places the organism in Eukaryota, Metazoa, Chordata, Mammalia, Rodentia, Heteromyidae. The transcript has 3 exons.